GAUGAACGCUGGCGGCGUGCUUAACACAUGCAAGUCGAACGGAAAGGCCCAAGCUUGCUUGGGUACUCGAGUGGCGAACGGGUGAGUAACACGUGGGCGAUCUGCCCUGCACUUCGGGAUAAGCCUGGGAAACUGGGUCUAAUACUGGAUAGGACCACUUCUUGGAUGUUGUGGUGGAAAGUUUUUUCGGUGUGGGAUGAGCUCGCGGCCUAUCAGCUUGUUGGUGGGGAAAUGGCCUACCAAGGCGUCGUCGGGUAGCCGGCCUGAGAGGGUGUACGGCCACACUGGGACUGAUCUACGGCCCGGACUCCUACGGGAGGCAGCAGUGGUGAAUAUUGCACAAUGGGCGCAAGCCUGAGGCAGCGACGCCGCGUGGGGGAUGACUGCCUUGGGGUUGUAAGCUCCUUUCGCGAGGGACGAAGCGUUUUGUGACGGUACCUUGAGAAGAAGCACCGGCUAACUACGUG
RNAcentral lists this ribosomal RNA (467 nucleotides) under uncultured bacterium. Its description in RNAcentral is "partial 16S ribosomal RNA". It matches the Rfam family "Bacterial small subunit ribosomal RNA", at positions 28 to 507 of the family's 1533-position model. The record is from RNAcentral.